GUAGGGAAUCUUCGGCAAUGGACGAAAGUCUGACCGAGCAACGCCGCGUGAGUGAAGAAGGUUUUCGGAUCGUAAAACUCUGUUGGUAGAGAAGAACGUUGGUGAGAGUGGAAAGCUCAUCAAGUGACGGUAACUACCCAGAAAGGGACGGCUAACUACGUGCCAGCAGCCGCGGUAAUACGUAGGUCCCGAGCGUUGUCCGGAUUUAUUGGGCGUAAAGCGCGCGCAGGGGGUUUAUUAAGUCUGGUGUAAAAGGCAGUGGCUCAACCAUUGUGUGCAUUGGAAACUGGUAGACUUGAGUGCAGGAGAGGAGAGUGGAAUUCCAUGUGUAGCGGUGAAAUGCGUAGAUAUAUGGAGGAACACCGGUGGCGAAAGCGGCUCUCUGGCCUGUAACUGACACUGAGGCUCGAAAGCGUGGGGAGCAAACAGGAUUAGAUACCCUAGUAGUCC
Molecule: ribosomal RNA, 450 nt
Filed under: uncultured bacterium
Lineage: Bacteria
Description: partial 16S ribosomal RNA
Rfam family: Bacterial small subunit ribosomal RNA
Source: RNAcentral